Molecule: non-coding RNA, 3030 nt
Organism: Oncorhynchus mykiss (rainbow trout)
Lineage: Eukaryota; Metazoa; Chordata; Actinopteri; Salmoniformes; Salmonidae
Source: RefSeq, a predicted model, not a curated record
GCAGUUAACCCACCGAUUUCCGAUUGUUAUGAAAACUUGAAAUUGUCCCUAAUUAAUCGGCCAUUCCGAUUAAUCGGUCGACCUCUAGUUGCAACUCAAUAUUAGGAAGGUGUUCCUAAUGUUUGGAAUACUCCGUGUAUAAGGCAUAUUUAAGCCUAAAAAGUAUGUUACAUAUUAUGCUUAACUGUGUAGGUUAUAUAAUGUUCACAAAUUCCUAUUUCAUUACUUCUGAUAAACUGAAAAAUAUUUUAUAGUUAAUCAAGUUCAUCCAGAUGUUUAGUUGAGAUAGUACAUUUGACAUUUUAGUAAUUUAGUAGACACUCAUUGUAAUCCCUCAAUAAAGUAGGUAUCUGCAAAGUCAGUGCUAGUAGGAAAAGAGAAAAGACAUGGGAUGCAUUUAAGAUACUCUGUCCUGGGUUGCCAGGACCGAGAAGAGCUUUGACUGGGCUGAGCUUGAGUUGACCUACCUGUAGGCGUGGGACUGCCAAGAGACCAAAGGUGGCAGAACGGAGUACUCUGGUUGGGGUGUAGGGUUUGAGCAUAGCCUGAAGGUAGGGAGGGGCAAAUCCCUGUGCUGCUCCGUAGGCAAGCACCUUGGUCUUAUAGUGGAUGUGAGCUUUGAUUUGAAGCCAGUGGAGUGUGCGGAGGAACGGGGUGCGGAGGAGAGGGGUGAAACGGGAGAACUUAGGAAGGUUGAACACCAAACGGGCUGCAGCGUUCUAGAUACGUUGCAGGGCUUUUUUAAUGUAUUUUUUAUUUUACCUUUAUUUAACUAGGCAAGUCAGUUAAGAACCAAUUCUUAUUUUCAAUGACGGCCAUCAGCUUUGAUUUGUACCUUGUCAGCUCUGGGAUUUGAACUUGCAACCUUCCGGUUACUAGUCCAACGCUCUAACCACUAGGCUACCCUGCCGCCCCUGGGCUCCCCGCUUGAUGGCACAGGCGGGGAGCCCAGCCAACAGAGAGUUGCAGUAGUCUAGAUGGGAGAUGAAAAGAGCCUGGAUUAGGACCUGCGACACUUCCUGUGUGAGGUAGGGUUGUAGUCUACGGAUGUUGUAGAGCAGGAACCUGCAGGAGCGAGUCACUGCUUUGAUGUUUGCAGAGAAUGACAGGGUGUUGUCCAGGGUUACGCCAAGGUUCUUUGCACUCUGGGAGGGGGACACCGUGGAGUUAUCAUCCAUGAUGAAGAGGUCUUGGAGCAGGCAGGCUUUCCCAGAGAGGAAGAGCAGCUCCGUCUUGUCGAGGUUGUGGGCCAACAUACAAGCUGAGAUGUUUGCCAGGAGGAGGAGGGUCCAGAGCAGAUGCGGGUGUGAGGAGGGUCUUGGGGAACAUGGUCAUGGAGGUCAACAGGACUUCAAUCAAGUACAGACUGAAUGAACAACAGAGACAGAAUGCAAUAUGACAUUUCAUUAAAUUGUUUGGGGAAUGGUCUCGUCACCAAGGGAAGAUCCUCUGAGCCAGAUGAUGUUAUGGCUGGUAGCCCUAUGCAGGGCUGCUGGCAAUUUCCUACUUUGAGACUCUUUGUGGAUACGGCGCCUGGUCUUUAUUCAUUUUGUCUUAAGUGUGGGACCAUGCCUUUGAAUUUUCAAACCAUUAAAAAGUGUCAGGUGGUUGGCUGGAGGCUAACAGAGGAGACUGGGAGGCCAUCUUGGAUUCCCAGACCCAAACCAGUGGAGCCAAGGUCCCACUGGACAUCAUCACUGAGCAGGCCAGGAUCAGAGGCGACAUAGUGGAGGUCAGUCGAUGGGACAGCGUCCUCAACACUGGGCUGGGGAACAACAAUUUUAAAUAACCAGAAACACAGUUGUGCAAGAAUCCACACUUGGACUUGGUCUCUAUGACAACAGACUGGCUGAGACCUGGGAGAGGCAUAGAUUUGGUCUGCGGGGACGGGGAGGUGUCCAUAUGCGGCAGGAGAGAACAGGCACAGAUUCGGCUACUGAUGCUCCAUCCUGUUCCUAUGUUUGUGAUUUAGAGAGAUUGAUGGUGCCUCAGGUUAACCCACUAACAGGUGCUGCCUUCAGCCUGCCUUCUAUAGGAUCUAUCAACUGGAAUAUGGACCCUGCAACAGACACUUCCUGGCCUUCCUCCUCCUCACAGUCUCCUUAUGUUAAACCAGACCUCAGGCAAUGCCAGUGCCUCAACGGCUACACAAGCCCAUUGACAAAUGACAGUAUUAGUAAUGCUAUCAGCAGAUCUGGUAGCAGAGAGAAGUGCUUCCCGUGUUCGGAGGAUGCGCACGUGGCAGAAACCAUUCAGCUGUCAUCUUUGCCGGGCAAAGUUUCUCCCAGUUGUCCAACCUGAAGAGGCACCAGAUGGUCCACACUGGGGAGAAGCCUUACAGCGGUCCCCAGUGUGAGAAGAGGUUCUCCUGCCAGCACCGACUGUACGCACUGCGGGAAGAGGUUAUCAGAGAGGAGCUACCUCGGGAUACACCAGCAGAAAAUGGAUGGGUGUUCACCACAAGAGACAUGUAACACAGCAUACAAUCCCCAAAACAAUGGCUAGUGGGCAAGGAGGGAGCUCAAAGACAGGCUCAUGCCUUCUACCACCUCUGGUGUUUUUGGGUCACAACGUGGGAGGCUGAGUGUUCAGACUAAAGCCGAAAAGCUGUAUGCCUGCCCCACGUAUGGGAAGCGAUUUGCUGAGGCGAACUACAGUGGGGCAAAAAAGUAUUUAGUCAGCCACCAAUUGUGCAAGUUCUCCCACUUAAAAAGAUGAGGCCUGUAAUGUUCAUCAUAGGUACACUUCAACUAUGACAGACAAAAUGAGGGGAAAAAAAUCCUGAAAAUCACAUUGUAGGAUUUUUAAUGAAUUAUAUCCCACCUCGUGACGUAACACUGCCUGGCUGGGGAGCUUUGUGCACUACUCUGCGCACAGGCAUAAAAGUUUGUCUUAUUUACUAUAAAGUCUACAAAGUGAGACUUUUUUCCUUGUGUUUCUUGGUUAUUUACAUUGUUUUGUUUUUACUUGUUUUUCAAUGUUAGUUUGAGUCUGCUGUUUGUACACAAUAAAUGAAAGAGGGAUUGGGUA